Molecule: ribosomal RNA, 846 nt
Filed under: uncultured bacterium
Lineage: Bacteria
Description: bacterial SSU rRNA
Rfam family: Bacterial small subunit ribosomal RNA
Source: RNAcentral
GAGCUUCGGUUCCUGAGUAAAGCGGCGAACGGGUGCGUAACACGUGGGUGAUCUGUCCUUGAGGUGGGGAUAACUCAGCGAAAGCUGGGCUAAUACCCAAUAAGACCACAGAAAGCAAUUUCCGGGGUCAAAGGGUGCUUUUUUUGGGAGCAUCCGUUUAAGGAGGAGCCCGCGACCUAUCAGCUAGUUGGUAGGGUAAUAGCCUACCAAGGCAAAGACGGGUAGCUGGUCUGAGAGGAUGACCAGCCACACGGGGACUGAGACACGGCCCCGACUCCUACGGGAGGCAGCAGUGGGGAAUAUUGGGCAAUGGGGGAAACCCUGACCCAGCGACGCCGCGUGGGUGAUGAAGGCCUUCGGGUCGUAAAGCCUUGUCAGGAGGAACGAAUGUUUUUAGAGUAAAUAGCUCUAAAAAGUGACGGUACCUCUGAAGGAAGCACCGGCCAACUCCGUGCCAGCAGCCGCGGUAAGACGGAGGGUGCAAGCGUUGCUCGGAAUCAUUGGGCGUAAAGGGUGCGUAGGCGGCUUUUUAAGUCUGACGUGAAAGCCCAGGGCUUAGCCUUGGAAGUGCGCCAGAAACUGGAAGGCUAGAGUGCCGGAGGGGAGAGUGGAAUUCCUGGUGUAGCGGUGAAAUGCGUAGAUAUCAGGAGGAAUACCGGUGGCGAAAGCGACUCUCUGGACGGUAACUGACGCUGAGGCACGAAAGCGUGGGGAGCAAACAGGAUUAGAUACCCUGGUAGUCCACGCUGUAAACGAUGGGCACUAGGUGUCGGGGGUAUCCACUCCCUCGGUGCCGCCGCUAACGCAUUAAGUGCCCCGCCUGGGAAGUACGGCCGCAAGGUUAAA